This 57-nucleotide transfer RNA is filed under the name Ovis aries (sheep). It matches the Rfam family "tRNA", at positions 8 to 63 of the family's 71-position model. Rfam says of the family: Transfer RNA (tRNA) molecules are approximately 80 nucleotides in length. Lineage: Eukaryota; Metazoa; Chordata; Mammalia; Artiodactyla; Bovidae. The record is from Rfam by way of RNAcentral.
UGGCUCAGAGGUUAAAGCGUCUGCCUGGAAUGCAGGAGAUCCAGGUUCAAUCCCUGG